GGAAAUGGUAAUUCAACUGGAAAAAGAUCUUUGCCAAUAAGAUAAAUGCGGGUUCGACUCCCGCCCAUUUCCACC
RNAcentral lists this transfer RNA (75 nucleotides) under Parapedobacter pyrenivorans. RNAcentral describes it as "tRNA-Trp". It matches the Rfam family "tRNA". From Rfam's summary of the family: Transfer RNA (tRNA) molecules are approximately 80 nucleotides in length. Their secondary structure includes four short double-helical elements and three loops (D, anti-codon, and T loops). Lineage: Bacteria; Pseudomonadati; Bacteroidota; Sphingobacteriia; Sphingobacteriales; Sphingobacteriaceae. The record is from RNAcentral.